GGUCUUGAGAGGAUGAUCAGUCACACUGGAACUGAGACACGGUCCAGACUCCUACGGGAGGCAGCAGUGGGGAAUAUUGGACAAUGGGCGAAAGCCUGAUCCAGCCAUGCCGCGUGUGUGAAGAAGGUCUUCGGAUUGUAAAGCACUUUAAGUUGGGAGGAAGGGCAGUAAGUUAAUACCUUGCUGUUUUGACGUUACCAACAGAAUAAGCACCGGCUAACUUCGUGCCAGCAGCCGCGGUAAUACGAAGGGUGCAAGCGUUAAUCGGAAUUACUGGGCGUAAAGCGCGCGUAGGUGGUUCAGCAAGUUGGAUGUGAAAUCCCCGGGCUCAACCUGGGAACUGCAUCCAAAACU
RNAcentral lists this ribosomal RNA (354 nucleotides) under bacterium LimC-10-J-96. Its description in RNAcentral is "bacterial SSU rRNA". It matches the Rfam family "Bacterial small subunit ribosomal RNA", at positions 289 to 634 of the family's 1533-position model. RNAcentral also lists the same sequence under 1 other name. The record is from RNAcentral.